Molecule: small nucleolar RNA, 104 nt
Organism: Suricata suricatta (meerkat)
Lineage: Eukaryota; Metazoa; Chordata; Mammalia; Carnivora; Herpestidae
Source: Ensembl
AUCCUUUUGUAGUUCAUAAGCGUGAUGAUUGGGUGUUCACACCGUUCUGUGACAUGUGCCACCCUUAAACCUUGUUACGACGCCAGCACAUUCCCUGUCUGAUG